UUCUCUAAGGAUGCCCGGGCCAUUCGGGAGAGAGCUUUGAAGCAGGCAGAGGAGGCCUUGAAAGGAAAAAGUAAGGCUGGUGGGGAUGAGAAAUUGUACAAGGGGAUGAAUCAAUAUACUGAUUACAAAGCUGGUUUGAGAAGAGAACAUACGAUUUGUAGUGUAUAAAGAAAUGGGGUCGGGGCGGGUUUGAACAGGGGGUCGGGCGGGUUUAAUAAAUAGAAUGGGUGGGUAAUCUGAUCCAAUCGUUGAGUGCCACGUGUUAAAAAAUUAUGUGGAAACAAGUUUUAACGGCUGAGGGAUAUAUAUGGCCCUAAUGUAUAACGGUGGGGAUAUAUUUGUUAAAGAAUUACAAGGGGAUGAAUCAAUAUACUGAUUACAAAGCUGGUUUGAGAAGAGAACAUACGAUUUCUAGUGAGAAAGCUGGUGGAGCGCAUGGUCCUCUCAGGGCUUCUGCCCACAUUAGAGUUUCAGCAAGGUUUGACUAUCAGCCGGAUAUU
This 500-nucleotide long non-coding RNA is filed under the name Nicotiana benthamiana. RNAcentral describes it as "long non-coding RNA (NBEN_LNC021415)". Lineage: Eukaryota; Viridiplantae; Streptophyta; Magnoliopsida; Solanales; Solanaceae. The record is from RNAcentral.